Molecule: long non-coding RNA, 256 nt
Organism: Sander lucioperca (pikeperch)
Lineage: Eukaryota; Metazoa; Chordata; Actinopteri; Perciformes; Percidae
Exons: 3
Source: RefSeq, a predicted model, not a curated record
AGUCUGAUCUGGAGGACACACAAGCCACUCCACGGCGGAUUCCUACAAGAUUAAUAAAGUAGACCUGCAGGACCCGAGCAGAGCUACGAUGCUCUCCCAGGUAACGUUAGCUCACAUCAGGCAGCAGGCAGUCCAACCAAGAGGACGUGGGAGCAGCAGAGGGAGAGGAGCCUUCAGUCUCUCUGUGGAGGAAACACUACGUGUGCUAAGGCUUCUAACAGCCAGGGUAUAGACCGAUAGAGUAUGUAUUGAUCAU